Molecule: transfer RNA, 75 nt
Filed under: Plastoroseomonas arctica
Lineage: Bacteria; Pseudomonadati; Pseudomonadota; Alphaproteobacteria; Acetobacterales; Acetobacteraceae
Description: tRNA-Thr
Rfam family: tRNA
About the family: Transfer RNA (tRNA) molecules are approximately 80 nucleotides in length. Their secondary structure includes four short double-helical elements and three loops (D, anti-codon, and T loops). Further hydrogen bonds mediate the characteristic L-shaped molecular structure. tRNAs have two regions of fundamental functional importance: the anti-codon, which is responsible for specific mRNA codon recognition, and the 3' end, to which the tRNAs corresponding amino acid is attached (by aminoacyl-tRNA synthetases). tRNAs cope with the degeneracy of the genetic code in two manners: having more than one tRNA (with a specific anti-codon) for a particular amino acid; and 'wobble' base-pairing, i.e. permitting non-standard base-pairing at the 3rd anti-codon position.
Source: RNAcentral
UGCGUAGCUGCGCGCAUUGAUCGCAACUGAUUCGUAAUCAGUAGGUCCGGGGUUCAAUUCCCCGAGUCGGCACCA